GAUUAGAGUUUGAUCAUGGCUCAGAUUGAACGCUGGCGGUAUGCUUAACACAUGCAAGUCGGGCGAGUAGCCUUCGGGCGAGAGCGGCGGACGGGUGAGUAAUGCAUAGGAAUCUGCCCUGUAGUGGGGGACAACGUGGGGAAACCCACGCUAAUACCGCAUACGCCCCAAGGGGGAAAGCGGGGGACCUUCGGGCCUCGCGCUAUAGGAUGAGCCUAUGUCGGAUUAGCUAGUUGGCGGGGUAAAGGCCCACCAAGGCGACGAUCCGUAGCUGGUCUGAGAGGAUGAUCAGCCACACUGGGACUGAGACACGGCCCAGACUCCUACGGGAGGCAGCAGUGGGGAAUAUUGGACAAUGGGCGCAAGCCUGAUCCAGCAAUACCGCGUGUGUGAAGAAGGCCUGAGGGUUGUAAAGCACUUUUAAUGGGGAGGAACACCCGCCGGCCAAUACCCGGCGGACUGACAUUACCCA
RNAcentral lists this ribosomal RNA (472 nucleotides) under uncultured bacterium. RNAcentral's name for it is "bacterial SSU rRNA". It matches the Rfam family "Bacterial small subunit ribosomal RNA", at positions 1 to 481 of the family's 1533-position model. The record is from RNAcentral.